This 708-nucleotide ribosomal RNA is filed under the name Lacticaseibacillus rhamnosus. RNAcentral's name for it is "bacterial SSU rRNA". It matches the Rfam family "Bacterial small subunit ribosomal RNA", at positions 801 to 1506 of the family's 1533-position model. Lineage: Bacteria; Bacillati; Bacillota; Bacilli; Lactobacillales; Lactobacillaceae. The record is from RNAcentral.
CCCGAAGGAAGUAUGCUAGGUGUUGGAGGGUUUCCGCCCUUCAGUGCCGCAGCUAACGCAUUAAGCAUUCCGCCUGGGGAGUACGACCGCAAGGUUGAAACUCAAAGGAAUUGACGGGGGCCCGCACAAGCGGUGGAGCAUGUGGUUUAAUUCGAAGCAACGCGAAGAACCUUACCAGGUCUUGACAUCUUUUGAUCACCUGAGAGAUCAGGUUUCCCCUUCGGGGGCAAAAUGACAGGUGGUGCAUGGUUGUCGUCAGCUCGUGUCGUGAGAUGUUGGGUUAAGUCCCGCAACGAGCGCAACCCUUAUGACUAGUUGCCAGCAUUUAGUUGGGCACUCUAGUAAGACUGCCGGUGACAAACCGGAGGAAGGUGGGGAUGACGUCAAAUCAUCAUGCCCCUUAUGACCUGGGCUACACACGUGCUACAAUGGAUGGUACAACGAGUUGCGAGACCGCGAGGUCAAGCUAAUCUCUUAAAGCCAUUCUCAGUUCGGACUGUAGGCUGCAACUCGCCUACACGAAGUCGGAAUCGCUAGUAAUCGCGGAUCAGCACGCCGCGGUGAAUACGUUCCCGGGCCUUGUACACACCGCCCGUCACACCAUGAGAGUUUGUAACACCCGAAGCCGGUGGCGUAACCCUUUUAGGGAGCGAGCCGUCUAAGGUGGGACAAAUGAUUAGGGUGAAGUCGUAACAGGUUAACCGUAAA